Molecule: long non-coding RNA, 738 nt
Filed under: Olea europaea subsp. europaea
Lineage: Eukaryota; Viridiplantae; Streptophyta; Magnoliopsida; Lamiales; Oleaceae
Source: RNAcentral
AAAAUAAUGAAACGUAUGUUCAUCUUCAAAUGACUAAUAAUGUGUCAUCUUUAACGGCCUAAACCAAAAUGUAUAAUCUUUAACGACUAAAACCCAAAGCCAAAUACGAAUAGGAAUUCACAGUUCAGAUAAGAUAAUGGAUCGUAAAGGGAAAUAGAAUUGCUUCGCUCAAUUUGUUUGUCACAUUAUAUCCAUAAGUUUACAUACAUACCAAACCUAUGAUAGAGCAUACAAAAAGCAAAUGUAAACAAGCUUAGUCAAAAGAGAAUUGAUAGUCGAAUUUCCCAAUAAAACUUAGAAUAUCACAUACAACGAACUCUGUCGUCCUCUCAAGCUUUUCGUCGUCAUCUUAACGUUCUGCUAGGGGCCCCUGCGGAUAAGCGACCCUUGUCGCUGGCCACCAACAAUCAAAUCUUUAAAUCGAGAUAAGGGGCCCAGCAACCUAACCAUCCUCUGUAGAGACAAUAUCAUGUCAACAAAUGCAAAUAACUAAACUCUUCAAAAAAAUAAAACAUAAAAAAUAAUAAUAAUAAUAAAAGCGACCAUUAAUGCAUUCUAACAAUAUUAGAAGUCGAGAUACCAUAUAGAACAAAAUUCUGUUGGGUUAUUUAACUUUUACACAGUACAAUUUGCUAGUAUGAACACUCACGUCGGGGUGAAAACUGUAAAGCAUGUGAACAGUUUCUAAUUCAUGCAAAUUAAAACAUAUUGCAAGCAAAUAUGCACAAGUUGGUGGAC